AGAACGAACGCUGGCGGCAUGCCUAAUACAUGCAAGUCGAACGAACUCUUCGGAGUUAGUGGCGCACGGGUGCGUAACGCGUGGGAAUCUGCCCCUUGGUUCGGAAUAACAGUUGGAAACGACUGCUAAUACCGGAUGAUGACGAAAGUCCAAAGAUUUAUCGCCAAGGGAUGAGCCCGCGUAGGAUUAGCUAGUUGGUGAGGUAAAGGCUCACCAAGGCAACGAUCCUUAGCUGGUCUGAGAGGAUGAUCAGCCACACUGGGACUGAGACACGGCCCAGACUCCUACGGGAGCAGCAGUAGGGAAUAUGGACAAUGGGCAAAGCCUGAUCCAGCAAUGCCGCGUGAGUGAUGAAGGCCUUAGGUUGUAAAGCUCUUUUACCCGAGAUGAUAAUGACAGUAUCGGAGAAUAAGCCCGGACUAACUCCGUACCAGCAGCCGAC
This 442-nucleotide ribosomal RNA is filed under the name uncultured soil bacterium. RNAcentral's name for it is "bacterial SSU rRNA". It matches the Rfam family "Bacterial small subunit ribosomal RNA", at positions 26 to 518 of the family's 1533-position model. The record is from RNAcentral.